Molecule: non-coding RNA, 24 nt
Filed under: Mus musculus (house mouse)
Lineage: Eukaryota; Metazoa; Chordata; Mammalia; Rodentia; Muridae
Source: RNAcentral
AGUAAACGGGUCUUGUAGCUCCCU